RNAcentral lists this ribosomal RNA (419 nucleotides) under uncultured bacterium. RNAcentral describes it as "bacterial SSU rRNA". It matches the Rfam family "Bacterial small subunit ribosomal RNA", at positions 82 to 476 of the family's 1533-position model. The record is from RNAcentral.
CCUAUGAAAUCGAGUGGCAAACGGGUGAGUAACGCGUAAACAACCUGCCCUUCGGAUGGGGAUAACAGCCGGAAACGGCUGCUAAUACCGAAUACGAUCUUUUCGUCGCAUGACGGAAAGAAGAAAGGAUGGCCUCUAUACAAAGCUAUCGCCGAAGGAGGGGUUUGCGUCUGAUUAGCUGGUUGGAGGGGUAACGGCCCAACAAGGCGAUGAUCAGUAGCCGGUCUGAGAGGAUGAACGGCCACAUUGGGACUGAGACACGGCCCAGACUCCUACGGGAGGCAGCAGUGGGGAAUCUUCCGCAAUGGACGAAAGUCUGACGGAGCAACGCCGCGUGAGUGAAGAAGGUCUUCGGAUUGUAAAGCUCUGUUAUACGGGACGAAAAAGACGGAUGCCAACAGUAUCCCGUCCGUGACGGU